GACAGAGGUGGCGAGCGUUGUUCGGAUUUACUGGGCGUAAAGCGCACGUAGGCGGCCGGGCAAGUCGGGUGUGAAAUCCCUCUGCUCAACGGAGGAAUGGCGCUCGAAACUGCUCGGCUCGAGGAUAGGAGAGGAGAGUGGAAUUCCCGGUGUAGCAGUGAAAUGCGUAGAUAUCGGGAGGAACACCAGUGGCGAAGGCGGCUCUCUGGACUAUUCCUGACGCUGAAGAGCGAAAGCGUGGGGAGCGAACAGG
This 253-nucleotide ribosomal RNA is filed under the name uncultured bacterium. RNAcentral describes it as "partial 16S ribosomal RNA". It matches the Rfam family "Bacterial small subunit ribosomal RNA", at positions 524 to 776 of the family's 1533-position model. The record is from RNAcentral.